AAACAAGAGAGCAAAGUAAUAGUCGUUCUCUUUCUCUCUUUCGCUCUCUCUAACUGACUCAUAAAGGUAAAAGGUGGUCGAAGGUUCGUUUUAAAAUCAUUAAUCAUCAUAGAUACAAUAAACGAAUUAUUUGUUUUGAAUUAUGACUAAUUGAAAUUAGGAAUACUGAGCAGAAAAGAACGCCCGAGAUGCAUCUAUGGACUGACCCCAGCCCCCCUUUCUGCUAAUCCGCACCUGUGCCAGGCAAACAACAGUAGCAACAACAACAGCAGCAGCAGCAGCAGUAGCAGUGGCAAUACGAAUAGCAACAACAUUCAAGUGGAUUUUUGUUUAAAGCACAAGCAGCAAAAAUGUCAGAAAUUUGUGUGCAGAGAUAAGCGACAUUCAAUUCAAUUAAUGGCGCGCGCAGCACAAAAAUACACAAACACAUAUAGACACACAGGCACAUAUACACACUCACACAUACACACAUUGCAGCAUAAAACUGGCGAGAGGCUGAGAAUAAAACUGUAAUCGAAAUCCCUGCAGAGCAAGAGUAACAGCAGCAGCAGAACCAUAUACAACACCAAAAACAACAACAACGACGACGCUAGCCAAGAGGCUCUUUCGGCAGCAGCACCGCGCAGCGAAUGCGAAGCAGUGUAGUAUGAGAAGAAAAAAUUUUCUUUCCACCAAACGUAAUUGCACUGCUGCUGUGCUUAAUUUUGCCAAUGGAUAUGCACAUAAAUCUGUUUAAAAUCUACUCACGCUUAAAAUUUAACACUUGUGGUCUGCUUUUGUGGCCAGUUUGUUUACUUUAAUGCACCAUAAGUAUAUGAAAUUUGUUAUUUAUUUUAAAUUGUUUAUCAUGAACUGCACACACGACGACGACGACAACGACGAACGACCGACGACAGACACGAAGUGUGUACAACACGAAUAAGCUACAAAAUAUGGUAUUUUACAGCACUGUCGUGCUGCCA
Molecule: long non-coding RNA, 962 nt
Organism: Drosophila navojoa
Lineage: Eukaryota; Metazoa; Arthropoda; Insecta; Diptera; Drosophilidae
Source: RefSeq, a predicted model, not a curated record